AGUGAACGUUGGCGGCGUGGAUUAGGCAUGCAAGUCGAGCGAUCGUAGCAAUACGGGAGCGGCAAACGGGGGUAGGAAUACAUCGGAACGUACCUUUUGGUUGAGAAUAGCGUUGGGAAACUGACGGUAAUACUCAAUAAAGUCGAGAGACCAAAGGUUUACUGCCGGAAGAGCGGCCGAUGCGAUAUUAGGUAGUUGGUGGGGUAAUGGCCUACCAAGCCUGAGAUGUCUAGGGGGUGUGAGAGCAUGGCCCCCACCACUGGGACUGAGAUACUGCCCAGACACCCUAACGGGUGGCUGCAGUCGAGGAUCUUCGUCAAUGGGCGAAAGCCUGAACGAGCGACGCCGCGUGCGGGAUGAAGGCCC
This 366-nucleotide ribosomal RNA is filed under the name uncultured bacterium. Its description in RNAcentral is "bacterial SSU rRNA". It matches the Rfam family "Bacterial small subunit ribosomal RNA", at positions 29 to 417 of the family's 1533-position model. The record is from RNAcentral.